UACGUAGGGUGCGAGCGUUAAUCGGAAUUACUGGGCGUAAAGCGUGAGUAGGCGGUUUCGCAAGUCCGAUGUGAAAUCCCCGGGCUUAACCUGGGAACUGCGUUGGAAACUACGAAGCUAGAGUGCGGCAGAGGGGGGUGGAAUUCCUAGUGUAGCGGUGAAAUGCGUAGAUAUCAGGAGGAACACCGGUGGCGAAGGCGGGUCUCUGGGCAAUAACUGACGCUGAGGAGCGAAAGCGUGGGGAGCGAACAGG
RNAcentral lists this ribosomal RNA (253 nucleotides) under uncultured bacterium. RNAcentral describes it as "partial 16S ribosomal RNA". It matches the Rfam family "Bacterial small subunit ribosomal RNA", at positions 524 to 776 of the family's 1533-position model. The record is from RNAcentral.